Rosa chinensis is the source of this 2644-nucleotide RNA transcript. It is a transcript of the gene named RNA helicase aquarius-like, with no coding region annotated. The transcript is spliced from 4 exons. Lineage: Eukaryota; Viridiplantae; Streptophyta; Magnoliopsida; Rosales; Rosaceae. The record is from RefSeq and is a predicted model, not a curated record.
CUAAGGAACGAACCGGUAGAGUAGUACCCAAAACCCGAAUAGAAUCGAAGAACCGACUCUCAGAAGUUACAGAGCUUUCUCUCUCAGACCCAAAUUUUCAUAAACCCUAACCCCCGUCGCUCCCCAAAAUCGUAGCUUCCCUACAAAACCCGCAUUGCGAAACCCUAAUUCGUCGUUCUCUUGGGCAAUGACGAAGGCGUACGGAACAGGCGCGUACGAUUUCAAGCGCCACCAUGUUACCGAGUACCCAGUGGAGCUGAACCACCAGCUCGGAGAGAAGCCGGUGGAGGCUAAACCCGGCGCGGCGCUGCCGAGCUCGAUAACGCGGUAGGAGAUUCAGAGGGACCAGCUCACUAUGAUUGCCGCUGCUAAUUGGUCCAAAGCCAGCGGGCAGGUGUAGAAGGCGUUUGACGCGGAGCUGGUGAAGAAGAUUUACUGUGGAAUAUGGUACUUGAGGCUGAUGUUGCUGUUGUUCCGAAAUGCUACUUGAGUGCUUUGUAUAUACAUGAAAAGGGGAAGCUCUUUACCCAACUUGUUGACUUGCUGCAGUUUUAUGAAGGAUUUGAGAUUAAUGAUAAUUUUGGGAAACAAUUGACGGAUGAUGAAGUGCUCCAAUCUCAUUAUGAUCGCGUACAAUCUUUUCAGCUGCUUGCUUUUACAAAGAUUCCUAAGUUGCAACAGCUUGCAUUGGUUUAAUUGACAACCGAAAUGAUCUCUCUAAAAGAUUGUCUGUACUUUCUCCUGAAGAAUUGAAGGAUUUGGUUUGUUCAAAGGCAUAUGAUAAAAGGGAGAGUAAAGCUUUCAUUGCAUUUAGAGAAGCACUGAAGUUCAAGUUUGUUCCUUCUCCAUUAAUAAAACUGUCAAUCACUCUCUCUCUCUCUCCCAAUACGUGCGUGUCCCCUCUGUCAUUACUUCAUUUUAUUUAUUGACACUUUCUAUGCCUGGUGACAGAUGAAACAGCUAUUAACUGUGGGAGAACUACAGCCAUGUUGCUUUAGAUGUUGGCAAUGUUGCUCAGGCAAGUGCUUUCUUCCAAAGAAGUGGCAUAUAUAUUUUCACAUGAGAUGUAUGCUUGGUGGUCUGCGCAAGUCUCAGCUUUUCUGGGUGAUCGCAUAGGACACUGCAUGUAUGAACUGCAAAAGAGAAAAAAGAACUUAAAAAGAUACAAGAAAUAUGAAAAAGUGGUAGUUAGAAAGUAAUCAAGCAAAUCUUCAUGUAUAAGGUCCAUAAUGUCUAGAUGCUGUUCACUGCUCAAGAUCAUCCUAAGCAGUCCAUGCUAUUCUUUCAUCAUUUCUAAGCUUUUUUAUUGUUGAUUAUUUCUUGUAGGCUCCAGAAGCUCUAGGAAGGUGUUUUUUUUUUUUUUUUUUUUGGAAAGAUAAAGAUAUUUUAUUACUAGAUAUGAUUAUAAUUGUACAUGAGGGCAUCCAAAAAACUCUGGAGCAUUAACAAACCAUUCAAGACGGAGGUUUGAGUCAAAACUAUAGCUAGCUAAAUGAUGAGCAACCAUGUUUGCUUGCCUGGGUGCAAAGUUAACUGUAACCUCCCCCACAGCAGCCACAAGGCCUUGAAUAUCAGAUAUCAGAGCACCUAAGUCGGACAAAUCUCCACCCAAAGAGUUAAUGGCCUGGACUGCUACUAGAUAAUCACUCUCUACAACCACCUUGAUAACAUUCAUAGCCUGCAGAAACUCCAAGCCAUAUUUCAAAGCCCGAAGUUCAGCGUGUAAGGGAGAGCUGACAAAGUCAUCCUUGAUUGUUCCUAAUGACACCACCUGUACCUCCAUACUGAAUAGAGGGGAGAAAAGCCCGUCAACAGUCAGUUUAAGAGUACCAGUCACCGGAGUAGACCACUGUUUCCGACCGGUAGAUCCUCUUCAAUCUGCAGCCUCAAGAACCUGAUUGGCUUGGGAAUACUCCUCAAACCAAGCCAUAGAGGCCACAAUGCUAGGCCAGUAGGCCCUGUUUGAGAAUGGUCUCUCCAUAACUUGUCAUUCCUGUUCCUCCAAAUACUCUAAAGCAAGACAAGCAGCUUGUCAUUUGUCAAAGCAAGCUGAUGACAUCGAAUUGACCCUUUCCAAGAUAAAGAAGAUGGAAUGGAAAAAGGAAGAGCUCCUACUAUCUUUCUAGUCAAGCUGCGUUGACAAAAUAGAAGCUCUAGGCUGGUGUUGGAUCAUACUAAUAAUAAGAAAUUGAUGCUGAGUUAUUGGAAAGAAUUAUGACAGAGUUGAAAAGCAUGGCUUCACCUACUAAUUCAGCAAUGUCUGAUGAUGAAGAUAACUUCCUCGUUAGUGGGACCACUAAUGCAGCAUCUGAGGUGGGAAAAUUUCGGGAAGCUGAGCACUUAGGCUGUGUUUGUUUCACAGAUUUUGGCCUUUGGGAAAGGAUCCUUUCCUGUGUUUCCUGUGUUUGGGAUGACAAUGGAAGGGAAAAUGCUUCCCAAAGGAAAGGAAAAAGAGGAGGAAAAUGAUUCCCCACCCCAGGAUCCACUUUCCGUCCGGAUUUCCUGUAUUAUUUUAAAACAUUAUAUGACUAAAUUGCCCUGCUCAAAAUCAUUAUUUGCUAGUUUUAUCCCCAUUAUCAUUUAGAUUCUUAUUUGCUAGUUUUAUCCCCAUUUUCUUUUGUACAUUUUUCUUUAAUGAUAUUUA